GACGAACGCUGGCGGCGUGCUUAACACAUGCAAGUCGAACGGAAAGGCCCUGCUUUUGUGGGGUGCUCGAGUGGCGAACGGGUGAGUAACACGUGAGUAACCUGCCCUUGACUUUGGGAUAACUUCAGGAAACUGGGGCUAAUACCGGAUAGGAGCUCCUGCUGCAUGGUGGGGGUUGGAAAGUUUCGGCGGUUGGGGAUGGACUCGCGGCUUAUCAGCUUGUUGGUGGGGUAGUGGCUUACCAAGGGUUUGACGGGUAGCCGGCCUGAGAGGGUGACCGGCGACAUUGGGACUGAGAUACGGCCCAGACGGCUACGGGAGGCAGAAGUGGGGAAUAUUGCACAAUGGGCGGAAGCCUGAUGCAGCAACGCCGCGUGCGGGAUGACGGCCUUCGGGUUGUAAACCGCUUUCGCCUGUGACGAAGCGUGAGUGACGGUAAUGGGUAAAGAAGCACCGGCUAACUACGUG
RNAcentral lists this ribosomal RNA (468 nucleotides) under uncultured bacterium. RNAcentral's name for it is "partial 16S ribosomal RNA". It matches the Rfam family "Bacterial small subunit ribosomal RNA", at positions 28 to 507 of the family's 1533-position model. The record is from RNAcentral.